RNAcentral lists this ribosomal RNA (450 nucleotides) under uncultured bacterium. RNAcentral's name for it is "partial 16S ribosomal RNA". It matches the Rfam family "Bacterial small subunit ribosomal RNA", at positions 354 to 796 of the family's 1533-position model. The record is from RNAcentral.
GUGGGGAAUAUUGGACAAUGGGCGAAAGCCUGAUCCAGCCAUGCCGCGUGUGUGAAGAAGGUCUUCGGAUUGUAAAGCACUUUAAGUUGGGAGGAAGGGCAGUAAGUUAAUACCUUGCUGUUUUGACGUUACCGACAGAAUAAGCACCGGCUAACUUCGUGCCAGCAGCCGCGGUAAUACGAAGGGUGCAAGCGUUAAUCGGAAUUACUGGGCGUAAAGCGCGCGUAGGUGGUUAUGUAAGUUGGAGGUGAAAUCCCCGGGCUCAAGCUGGGAACUGCCUCCAAAACUGCAUGACUAGAGUACGGUAGAGGGUAGUGGAAUUUCCUGUGUAGCGGUGAAAUGCGUAGAUAUAGGAAGGAACACCAGUGGCGAAGGCGACUACCUGGACUGAUACUGACACUGAGGUGCGAAAGCGUGGGGAGCAAACAGGAUUAGAAACCCGAGUAGUCC